AGAAUCAACGCUGGCGGCGUGCCUAACACAUGCAAGUCGCACGAGAAAGUGGAGCAAUCCACGAGUAAAGUGGCGCACGGGUGAGUAACACGUGAAUGAUCUACCUCCGAGUGGGGGAAUAACUGAGAGAAAUCUUAGCUAAUACCGCAUAACACUUACGAGUCAAAGCAGCAAUGCGCUUGGAGAGGAGUUCGCGGCCGAUUAGCUAGUUGGCGGGGUAAUGGCCCACCAAGGCGAUGAUCGGUAUCCGGCCUGAGAGGGCGCACGGACACACUGGAACUGAAACACGGUCCAGACUCCUACGGGAGGCAGCAGUGGGGAAUUUUGCGCAAUGGGGGAAACCCUGACGCAGCAACGCCGCGUGGAGGAUGAAGCCCCUUGGGGUGUAAACUCCUUUCGAUCGGGAAGAUGAUGACGGUACCGAUAUAAGACGCCCGGCUAACUCGUGCCAGCAGCCGC
RNAcentral lists this ribosomal RNA (459 nucleotides) under uncultured bacterium. RNAcentral's name for it is "SSU rRNA". It matches the Rfam family "Bacterial small subunit ribosomal RNA", at positions 26 to 518 of the family's 1533-position model. The record is from RNAcentral.